Molecule: unclassified non-coding RNA, 263 nt
Filed under: plant metagenome
Description: partial contains small subunit ribosomal RNA, internal transcribed spacer 1, and 5.8S ribosomal RNA
Source: RNAcentral
UUUCCGUAGGUGAACCUGCGGAAGGAUCAUUAUUGUAUAACCGAGGUGCGAGGGCUGUCGCUGACCCGAAAGGUCGUGCACGCCCGAGUGCCCUCACACACAUCCAUCUCACCCCUAUGCACACCACCGCGUGGGUCCCCCUUUGGCUUGUUCGGAGGGGGGCUUACGUUUUCACACAAACUUUGUAUGCAGUGUAGAAUGUAUUUUUUGUUUUUGCGAUCACGCAAUCAAUACAACUUUCAACAACGGAUCUCUUGGCUCUC